AAUGUUUUAACAUUCAACUCAGCAGUCCUGAAAAUGCCUUUCAACAAAUAUUCAUUGUAAAACUAAUUUAAACACAAAUGAAAUAACCUAAGUAACUGACACCAAGAUCUGAAUGAGUUCAUUUUAGUACUUACUGCCCAAAUGUGUUAUUUCAGAUUUUAUUGUUGCACUUUUUAAAGCUGAGAUACGUAGUUCUUUCAGGAAACCUUGUUGUGCUGGUUUGAAGCCAACCUGGUUAAUUCUGAUUCAAGAGUGAUAUUUGGAUAGUUCUUGUUCUCAAGUGCACAUAAGUUUCCCAUCAGGUAGAUAAUUUCAGUCUGAUAAUACCUGCCAGUGACCUAACUACCCACAUUGGUGACACAGAUGCUAGAUCUCUAUAAUUCAUUUCUUUACU
Molecule: long non-coding RNA, 394 nt
Filed under: Bos taurus (domestic cattle)
Lineage: Eukaryota; Metazoa; Chordata; Mammalia; Artiodactyla; Bovidae
Description: long non-coding RNA NONBTAT007256
Source: RNAcentral